Small nucleolar RNA from Solanum pennellii, 108 nucleotides. The record is from RefSeq and is a predicted model, not a curated record. Lineage: Eukaryota; Viridiplantae; Streptophyta; Magnoliopsida; Solanales; Solanaceae.
UGAUGAUGAUGAGGGAAGCUCAUCAACAUCAAUUUGAACCUGUCUCGUGCUUCGUACAAGUUUUCACCAACCCUUCUAUCUGAAGCUUAAAAUGUCACUCCUCAACUU